This 420-nucleotide ribosomal RNA is filed under the name uncultured bacterium. RNAcentral's name for it is "bacterial SSU rRNA". It matches the Rfam family "Bacterial small subunit ribosomal RNA", at positions 356 to 773 of the family's 1533-position model. The record is from RNAcentral.
GAGGAAUAUUGGUCAAUGGGCGAGAGCCUGAACCAGCCAAGUAGCGUGAAGGAUGACUGCCCUAUGGGUUGUAAACUUCUUUUAUAAAGGAAUAAAGUCGGGUAUGGAUACCCGUUUGCAUGUACUUUAUGAAUAAGGAUCGGCUAACUCCGUGCCAGCAGCCGCGGUAAUACGGAGGAUCCGAGCGUUAUCCGGAUUUAUUGGGUUUAAAGGGAGCGUAGAUGGAUGUUUAAGUCAGUUGUGAAAGUUUGCGGCUCAACCGUAAAAUUGCAGUUGAUACUGGAUAUCUUGAGUGCAGUUGAGGCAGGCGGAAUUCGUGGUGUAGCGGUGAAAUGCUUAGAUAUCACGAAGAACUCCGAUUGCGAAGGCAGCCUGCUAAGCUGCAACUGACAUUGAGGCUCGAAAGUGUGGGUAUCAAAC